AGGACUAACGCUGGCGGCGUGCCUAACACAUGCAAGUCGAACGAGAGUAGCAAUACUCUAGUGGCAGACGGGUGAGUAACACGUGGUCAACCUACCUCUAUGUGGGGGAUAACUAGCCGAAAGGUUAGCUAAUACCGCAUACGAUCGUCGAGCGGCAUCGCUUGACGAUGAAAGGAGCAAUCCGCAGAGAGACGGGACCGCGUCCCAUUAGCUAGUUGGUGGGUAAAGGCCUACCAAGGCGACGAUGGGUAGCUGGCUUGAGAGAGCGACCAGCCACACUGGGACUGAGACACGGCCCAGACUCCUACGGGAGGCAGCAGUGAGGAAUUUUCCGCAAUGGGCGAAAGCCUGACGGAGCGACGCCGCGUGUGGGAAGAAGGCCUUCGGGUCGUAAACCACUGUCGAAGGGGAAGAGUAUUGACGGUACCCUUGGAGGAAGCCCCGGCUAACUACGUGCCAGCAGCCGC
RNAcentral lists this ribosomal RNA (467 nucleotides) under uncultured bacterium. RNAcentral's name for it is "SSU rRNA". It matches the Rfam family "Bacterial small subunit ribosomal RNA", at positions 26 to 518 of the family's 1533-position model. The record is from RNAcentral.